CCUACGGGCGUCAGCAGUGGGGAAUAUUGCACAAUGGGGGAAACCCUGAUGCAGCGACGCCGCGUGAGUGAAGAAGUAAUUCGUUACGUAAAGCUCUAUCAGCAGGGAAGAAACACUGACCUUACGGUCAGCAGACGGUACCUGAGUAAGAAGCCCCGUCUAACUACGUGCCAGCAGCCGCGGUAAUACGUAGGGGGCAAGCGUUAUCCGGAUUUACUGGGUGUAAAGGGAGCGUAGACGGGGCGCCAAGUCUGGAGUGAAAUGCCGCAGCUUAACGGCGGAACUGCUUUGGAAACUGGCGAACUAGAGUGCGGGAGGGGUAAGCGGAAUUCCUAGUGUAGCGGUGAAAUGCGUAGAUAUUAGGAGGAACACCGGUGGCGAAGGCGGCUUACUGGACCGUAACUGACGUUGAGGCUCGAAAGCGUGGGGAGCAAACAGGAUUAGAUACCCGAGUAGUC
This 458-nucleotide ribosomal RNA is filed under the name uncultured bacterium. RNAcentral describes it as "partial 16S ribosomal RNA". It matches the Rfam family "Bacterial small subunit ribosomal RNA", at positions 338 to 795 of the family's 1533-position model. The record is from RNAcentral.